RNAcentral lists this ribosomal RNA (468 nucleotides) under uncultured bacterium. RNAcentral's name for it is "partial 16S ribosomal RNA". It matches the Rfam family "Bacterial small subunit ribosomal RNA", at positions 28 to 507 of the family's 1533-position model. The record is from RNAcentral.
GACGAACGCUGGCGGCGUGCUUAACACAUGCAGGUCGAACGGAAAGGCCCUGCGUUUGUGGGGUUCUCGAGUGGCGAACGGGUGAGUAACACGUGAGUAACCUGCCCUUGACUUUGGGAUAACUUCAGGAAACUGGGGCUAAUACCGGAUAGGAGCUCCUGCUGCAUGGUGGGGGUUGGAAAGUUUCGGCGGUUGGGGAUGGACUCGCGGCUUAUCAGCUUGUUGGUUGGGUAGUGGCUUACCAAGGCUUUGACGGGUAGCCGGCCUGAGAGGGUGACCGGCCACAUUGGGACUGAGAUACGGCCCAGAGUGCUACGGGAGGCAGCAGUGGGGAAUAUUGCACAAUGGGCGGAAGCCUGAUGAAGCAACGCCGCGUGCGGGAUGCCGGCCUUCGGGUUGUAAACCGCUUUCGCCUGUGACGAAGCGUGAGUGACGGUAAUGGGUAAAGAAGCACCGGCUAACUACGUG